This 504-nucleotide ribosomal RNA is filed under the name uncultured bacterium. RNAcentral describes it as "partial 16S ribosomal RNA". It matches the Rfam family "Bacterial small subunit ribosomal RNA", at positions 30 to 523 of the family's 1533-position model. The record is from RNAcentral.
AUUGAACGCUAGCGGCAUGCUUAACACAUGCAAGUCGAACGGUAGCAGUACUAGCUUGCUAGUAGCUGACGAGUGGCGGACGGGUGAGUAACGCGUGGGAAUCUAACUUGAAGAGGGGGAUAACUUGGGGAAACCCAAGCUAAUACCGCAUAGACCCGUAAGGGGAAAGCAGGGGACCGAAAGGCCUUGCGCUUGAAGAUGAGCCCGCGUCGGAUUAGCUAGUUGGUGGGGUAAAGGCCUACCAAGGCGUAGAUCCGUAGCUGGUCUGAGAGGACGACCAGCCACACUGGGACUGAGACACGGCCCAGACUCCUACGGGAGGCAGCAGUGGGGAAUAUUGGACAAUGGGCGCAAGCCUGAUCCAGCAAUGCCGCGUGUGUGAAGAAGGCCUGCGGGUUGUAAAGCACUUUCAGUUGGGAGGAAGGCAUUAUUUUGAAUAGAGAUGAUGUUUGACGUUACCGACAGAAGAAGCACCGGCUAACUCUGUGCCAGCAGCCGCCGUAA